UACGGAGGGUGCAAGCGUUAAUCGGAAUUACUAGGCGUAAAGCGUGCGCAGGCGGUUUGUUAAGUCCGCUGUGAAAUCCCCGAGCUCAACUUGGGAAUUGCAGUGGAUACUGGCAAGCUGGAGUAUGGUAGAGGAAGGUGGAAUUCCCGGUGUAGCAGUGAAAUGCGUAGAGAUCGGGAGGAACACCAGUGGCGAAGGCGGCCUUCUGGACCAAUACUGACGCUCAUGCACGAAAGCGUGGGGAGCAAACAGG
This 253-nucleotide ribosomal RNA is filed under the name uncultured bacterium. RNAcentral describes it as "partial 16S ribosomal RNA". It matches the Rfam family "Bacterial small subunit ribosomal RNA", at positions 524 to 776 of the family's 1533-position model. The record is from RNAcentral.